RNAcentral lists this transfer RNA (88 nucleotides) under Candidatus Thorarchaeota archaeon. RNAcentral describes it as "tRNA-Leu". It matches the Rfam family "tRNA". Rfam says of the family: Transfer RNA (tRNA) molecules are approximately 80 nucleotides in length. Their secondary structure includes four short double-helical elements and three loops (D, anti-codon, and T loops). Further hydrogen bonds mediate the characteristic L-shaped molecular structure. tRNAs have two regions of fundamental functional importance: the anti-codon, which is responsible for specific mRNA codon recognition, and the 3' end, to which the tRNAs corresponding amino acid is attached (by aminoacyl-tRNA synthetases). tRNAs cope with the degeneracy of the genetic code in two manners: having more than one tRNA (with a specific anti-codon) for a particular amino acid; and 'wobble' base-pairing, i.e. permitting non-standard base-pairing at the 3rd anti-codon position. The record is from RNAcentral. Lineage: Archaea; Promethearchaeati; Candidatus Thorarchaeota.
GCGGAGGUUGCCAAGCCAGGUCAAAGGCGUGAGGUUCAGGUCCUCAUCUCGUAGGAGUUCGCGAGUUCAAAUCUCGCCCUCCGCACCA